AAUCAUUCGCACAGUUUAGGUGCUCUUACAUAGCGUAAGAGGUAACAGGGAAUCGAGUGCAAAUCUCGAGCGGUCCAGCCACUGUAAACAGGGAGUUUUCUAUCUUAUCGUCACUCAAAACGGGGAAGGCGGUAGAAAAUGAUGAUCUCAAGCCAGGAGACCUACCUAUUCUGUACACUUGAC
This 183-nucleotide non-coding RNA is filed under the name Priestia megaterium. Lineage: Bacteria; Bacillati; Bacillota; Bacilli; Caryophanales; Bacillaceae. The record is from RNAcentral. RNAcentral also lists the same sequence under 1 other name.